Molecule: small nuclear RNA, 23 nt
Filed under: Arabidopsis thaliana (thale cress)
Lineage: Eukaryota; Viridiplantae; Streptophyta; Magnoliopsida; Brassicales; Brassicaceae
Description: snRNA_10864
Source: RNAcentral
AUCUGUUAAAAGAUAACGCAGGU